RNAcentral lists this ribosomal RNA (640 nucleotides) under uncultured euryarchaeote. RNAcentral describes it as "bacterial SSU rRNA". It matches the Rfam family "Archaeal small subunit ribosomal RNA", at positions 339 to 981 of the family's 1478-position model. Lineage: Archaea; Methanobacteriati; Methanobacteriota. The record is from RNAcentral.
UCGCGAAACCUUCACACUGGGGGAAACCCUGAUGAGGGAAUUCCUAGUGCCUGCAUUUUUUGUAGGCUUUUAUCUAGUGUAGAUAGCUAGAAGAAUAAGGGCCGGGUAAGACGGGUGCCAGCCGCCGCGGUAAUACCCGCGGCCCAAGUGGUGGUCGAUAUUAUCGAGUCUAAAACGUCCGUAGCCGGUUCAGUAAAUCUUUGGGUAAAUCGGCCAGCUUAACUGACCGAAUUCCGAAGGGACUGCUGAACUUGGGACCGGGAGAGGCCAGAGGUACUUCUGGGGUAGGGGUAAAAUCCUGUAAUCCUAGAAGGACCACCGGUGGCGAAGGCGUCUGGCUAGAACGGAUCCGACGGUGAGGGACGAAGCCCUGGGGCGCAAACGGGAUUAGAUACCCCGGUAGUCCAGGGUGUAAACGCUGCAGGCUUGGUGUUGGGGGUCCUUCGGGGGCGCCCAGUGCCGGAGAGAAGUUGUUAAGCCUGCUACUUGGGGAGUACGUCCGCAAGGAUGAAACUUAAAGGAAUUGGCGGGGGAGCACCGCAACGGGAGGAGCGUGCGGUUUAAUUGGAUUCAACACCGGAAAACUCACCAGGAGCGACGGUUACAUGAAAGUCAGGCUGAUGACCUUACUAGAUUUUCC